This is a non-coding RNA of Heterocephalus glaber (naked mole-rat), 493 nucleotides long. NCBI's taxonomy places the organism in Eukaryota, Metazoa, Chordata, Mammalia, Rodentia, Bathyergidae. The record is from RefSeq and is a predicted model, not a curated record.
CGCCGUGUGCUGCCGUGGCUCGCAGGAGACCAGGACUAACUGCAGAGGUUCUGGUCCCAUGAAUGUGUCAGGAUAUAUCUGAAGAAGGGAUAUGCCCUAGUAACAGAGAGAGAAAAGUCCAAACCCAUAGCUCUCAACUCUAAUGAAGGCUUAAGAGAAGGCAGUAAUGGUGUCGUCUCAGGUCAUUCUGGGACAGAGGAAUCCAGAAGAUCACUGAGAGAGUUACCUCUCAUCUCACUGAGGAGUGCAAAGACCAAGGAAUUUAGGACUGACGUCCUUCCCAGCCUGAAAUGACACCGUUACACAGCUGGGACUGAUUGAGAUGCCCGAAGAGUGGGAGAGAGGGGGGCUGAGUCACAUGAGCUAAGUGUCCUGAGGCAACUGACUCAACAAAAGAGAAUAAGCCGAGAGAGCUCUAGCUCAAAUAGUUUUAUUCACUAUAUUCUAAAAUACUUAUGCAACAUAUUUGUAUGUUGUCUAAUAUAUACAUGCC